ACUGGAGUAGUCUACACAAGACAUCUGAUUUCGACUCAGAAAACCUUCCUACCAAGCUCCAGCU
This 64-nucleotide transfer RNA is filed under the name Amerotyphlops reticulatus (reticulate worm snake). Its description in RNAcentral is "tRNA-Arg". Lineage: Eukaryota; Metazoa; Chordata; Lepidosauria; Squamata; Typhlopidae. The record is from RNAcentral.